This 2025-nucleotide ribosomal RNA is filed under the name Streptococcus pneumoniae. RNAcentral's name for it is "bacterial SSU rRNA". The stretch from base 866 to 2025 matches the Rfam family "Bacterial small subunit ribosomal RNA". The record is from RNAcentral. Lineage: Bacteria; Bacillati; Bacillota; Bacilli; Lactobacillales; Streptococcaceae.
CGAGUCUGAAUAGGGCGCCUUAGUAUCAUGACGUAGACCCGAAACCAUGUGACCUACCCAUGAGCAGGUUGAAGGUGCGGUAAGACGCACUGGAGGACCGAACCAGGGCACGUUGAAAAGUGCUUGGAUGACUUGUGGGUAGCGGAGAAAUUCCAAACGAACUUGGAGAUAGCUGGUUCUCUCCGAAAUAGCUUUAGGGCUAGCGUCGACAUUAGAGAUUCUUGGAGGUAGAGCACUGUUUGGGUGAGGGGUCCAUCCCGGAUUACCAAUCUCAGAUAAACUCCGAAUGCCAAUGAAUUAUGGUCGGCAGUCAGACUGCGAGUGCUAAGAUCCGUAGUCGAAAGGGAAACAGCCCAGACCACCAGCUAAGGUCCCAAAAUAAUUGUUAAGUGGAAAAGGAUGUGGGGUUGCACAGACAACUAGGAUGUUAGCUUAGAAGCAGCUAUUCAUUCAAAGAGUGCGUAAUAGCUCACUAGUCGAGUGACCCUGCGCCGAAAAUGUACCGGGGCUAAAACAAUUUACCGAAGCUGUGGAUACCUUUAUAGGUAUGGUAGGAGAGCGUUCUAUGUGUGAUGAAGGUAUACCGUGAGGAGUGCUGGAACGCAUAGAAGUGAGAAUGCCGGUAUGAGUAGCGAAAGACAGGUGAGAAUCCUGUCCACCGUAAGACUAAGGUUUCCAGGGGAAGGCUCGUCCGCCCUGGGUUAGUCGGGACCUAAGGAGAGACCGAAAGGUGUAUCCGAUGGACAACAGGUUGAUAUUCCUGUACUAGAGUAUGUAGUGAUGGAGGGACGCAGUAGGCUAACUAAAGCAGACGAUUGGAAGAGUCUGUCUAAGCAGUGAGGUGUGAAUUGAGUCAAAUGCUUAAUUCUAUAACAUUGAGCUGUGAUGGGGAGCGAAGUUUAGUAGCGAAGUUAGUGACGUCACACUGCCAAGAAAAGCUUCUAGCGUUUAAACAUACUCUACCCGUACCGCAAACCGACACAGGUAGUCGANGCUAACUACGUGCCAGCAGCCGCGGUAAUACGUAGGUCCCGAGCGUUGUCCGGAUUUAUUGGGCGUAAAGCGAGCGCAGGCGGUUAGAUAAGUCUGAAGUUAAAGGCUGUGGCUUAACCAUAGUAGGCUUUGGAAACUGUUUAACUUGAGUGCAAGAGGGGAGAGUGGAAUUCCAUGUGUAGCGGUGAAAUGCGUAGAUAUAUGGAGGAACACCGGUGGCGAAAGCGGCUCUCUGGCUUGUAACUGACGCUGAGGCUCGAAAGCGUGGGGAGCAAACAGGAUUAGAUACCCUGGUAGUCCACGCUGUAAACGAUGAGUGCUAGGUGUUAGACCCUUUCCGGGGUUUAGUGCCGUAGCUAACGCAUUAAGCACUCCGCCUGGGGAGUACGACCGCAAGGUUGAAACUCAAAGGAAUUGACGGGGGCCCGCACAAGCGGUGGAGCAUGUGGUUUAAUUCGAAGCAACGCGAAGAACCUUACCAGGUCUUGACAUCCCUCUGACCGCUCUAGAGAUAGAGCUUUCCUUCGGGACAGAGGUGACAGGUGGUGCAUGGUUGUCGUCAGCUCGUGUCGUGAGAUGUUGGGUUAAGUCCCGCAACGAGCGCAACCCCUAUUGUUAGUUGCCAUCAUUUAGUUGGGCACUCUAGCGAGACUGCCGGUAAUAAACCGGAGGAAGGUGGGGAUGACGUCAAAUCAUCAUGCCCCUUAUGACCUGGGCUACACACGUGCUACAAUGGCUGGUACAACGAGUCGCAAGCCGGUGACGGCAAGCUAAUCUCUUAAAGCCAGUCUCAGUUCGGAUUGUAGGCUGCAACUCGCCUACAUGAAGUCGGAAUCGCUAGUAAUCGCGGAUCAGCACGCCGCGGUGAAUACGUUCCCGGGCCUUGUACACACCGCCCGUCACACCACGAGAGUUUGUAACACCCGAAGUCGGUGGGGUAACCUUUUUGGAGCCAGCCGCCUAAGGUGGGACAGAUGAUUGGGGUGAAGUCGUAACAAGGUAGCCGUAUCGGAAGGUGCGGCUGGAUCACCU